RNAcentral lists this ribosomal RNA (273 nucleotides) under uncultured bacterium. RNAcentral describes it as "partial 16S ribosomal RNA". It matches the Rfam family "Bacterial small subunit ribosomal RNA", at positions 524 to 796 of the family's 1533-position model. The record is from RNAcentral.
UACGGAGGAUCCAAGCGUUAUCCGGAUUCAUUGGGUUUAAAGGGUGCGUAGGCGGACUAAUAAGUCAGUGGUGAAAUCCUGCAGCUUAACUGCAGAACUGCCAUUGAUACUGCUAGUCUAGAGUACAUUUGAUGUGGGCGGAAUGUGUCGUGUAGCGGUGAAAUGCUUAGAUAUGACACAGAACACCGAUUGCGAAGGCAGCUCACAAAACUGUAACUGACGCUGAGGCACGAAAGUGUGGGGAUCGAACAGGAUUAGAAACCCCCGUAGUCC